RNAcentral lists this ribosomal RNA (497 nucleotides) under uncultured bacterium. RNAcentral describes it as "partial 16S ribosomal RNA". It matches the Rfam family "Bacterial small subunit ribosomal RNA", at positions 28 to 507 of the family's 1533-position model. The record is from RNAcentral.
GAUGAACGCUGGCGGCGUGCCUAAUACAUGCAAGUCGAGCGAACGGACGAGAAGCUUGCUUCUCUGAUGUUAGCGGCGGACGGGUGAGUAACACGUGGAUAACCUACCUAUAAGACUGGGAUAACUUCGGGAAACCGGAGCUAAUACCGGAUAAUAUUUUGAACCGCAUGGUUCAAAAGUGAAAGACGGUCUUGCUGUCACUUAUAGAUGGAUCCGCGCUGCAUUAGCUAGUUGGUAAGGUAACGGCUUACCAAGGCAACGAUGCAUAGCCGACCUGAGAGGGUGAUCGGCCACACUGGAACUGAGACACGGUCCAGACUCCUACGGGAGACAGCAGUAGGGAAUCUUCCGCAAAGGGCGAAAGCCUGACGGAGCAACGCCGCGUGAGUGAUGAAGGUCUUCGGAUCGUAAAACUCUGUUAUUAGGGAAGAACAUAUGUGUAAGUAACUGUGCACAUCUUGACGGUACCUAAUCAGAAAGCCACGGCUAACUACGUG